This 1883-nucleotide long non-coding RNA is filed under the name Androctonus crassicauda. Lineage: Eukaryota; Metazoa; Arthropoda; Arachnida; Scorpiones; Buthidae. The record is from RNAcentral.
UGGCUAUUAAUGAAGCUAUAAAUGUUGAAUUGUAAGUAACAUUAACUAAUCCUAGAGAUUUAUCAUAUAAAGGUUCUUAGCAUUAAAAUUUCUAAUCAAAAAUACAUAAUGUUGAAGAGUUAAAUUUCCAUUCAGAUAUUUUGAGAAUUUUAUUUUUUGUCAUUUUCAACAGAUGGCGCAAAGCGAUAAAACAAACGAAUAUCUAUAUAAUCCAUGAGUUGUACACUUCAAGUUUUCCCUAUUAAAAACGUCAUAUGUGAUGUCAUAUUUUUUAAACCAAUAACAAAAAGAUGGAAAUAUCGCUUAGUUAUUCCGAAUUUAACGAUGUUUACAGAAGAUUAAAAGAAUAUCCGAAAAAAAAAUACAAUGACAAGUCAGUUAUAAUGCACAAUAGAAUUAGUAAGUGUUUCAAAUAACUUAUUGAAACGAAAAUAAUUCAUAGAAUUCGGGGUGACAAAAGCUGCUUGUGUUAGGUUAGGUUAAGUGGCCACACCGCUGCAGAGGUAUUCUGUAUCUGGCGACGGCCACUUAUAGAUCCAAUCAUAGGCUGACCAACAUCCAUGACGAAGUCAACCGGAGAGUUGAAAGAUGGGAUUCAACGGGACGGGCCCGGAUCCUUCUGAAAAACUGCACAUGUGGGACACGGAUUUUCUAGUGUGGUAAGCCACAGCUUUCCUAAGCGGCAAUCCAAAAGCUGCAUAGAGAAAAUUUAAUUCGAUCACAAAUGUACAAUUGGUGAUCUGUUAGGAAACACUCCCACUACGAAUGAAUCGGAUAACAAACAAUUUAGGGAAAGAUUUUUAUCUUCGGAAAACGAAGACCUCAGAACAAACUGGGACACACGGACUGAUCCGCAAGGAAUAACAAUCUUAUGGCUUAUGCGUUCCUGUACUUAAGGGUAAGGAUGGAAGAAAGUGGUUUUUACCGAUUAAAACGAACUCUGAGACAAUUUAAAACAAAUCAACGAUUUAUUAAAGGAGGAAAGAGAGAGUUGUACAAUUUUUUGUUCUUAGAAUGGCACUCAAAUCAGAUUGAGGUAAAUUGGUUAAAGAAGUCGGAAGUAUUCGCCGCGUGGAAACAUUUCGUAUUUCCAUUCUGGAAGACACGUGUUCGAGUCUCCGGUCCCACCCCUUGAAAAUAUUUAUCUUGGGAUCUGGGCCCGGCCGUUGAUCCUCGCCUUCACAAUCCAGCUGUUCCCUCCGCUGUCGUAUGCAGCCUGUGAAAGAGUAUGUUUCGCUCCUCGAUUAGUACUCUAAUAGAAUGGUAAGUGAUGUUAUUUGUUAAUAAAAAAAUGCUUAUAAUAUAAUUAAAAUAUAGUCACAUUUCGGUUCAGGAACUCGAUUCGUUCCUGAAGGUCGUUCGUAAACAAAAUCUCUUUCCCUAUAGGAGUUAUUGUAAAAUAUAUUAAUCCUUUUCUGGAUUCUAGAGGAUUUUUCUUUAAACAUUGACAAUAGUACUUUGUGCACAAGUUCUUAAAAAAAGUUCAAUUGAAACUAUUUAAUCUAUCACAAGAAAGAUAAACACAACAAUAUGCAGAUCAAAUAUAAAGGAAAACUUAAUUUUGUUGUAUCGUAGCUGUAUGGAGGAGAGUUGAUGGCGAAAGUAGAUGGUGAGGAAGCGAAAUAUUAUUGUUUGGAAGAGGACUGUUUUUCUUUUUUUCUUCUGUCUCUUGACACCACCCGAAUCUGCUUCAGACCCAUUGCGCUACUGUUCCACUAAAAAUUUGUCCAGUGUGAUUUGUUUUUAUCUACAUUUUAAAAUGUUUCUAAAGUGACACAUGCCGUUAUCAUUAAAAUGUUUAUUUUGACGGCUUGCGUGUUCGUAACUCGAGACACAGUACGUCAUCGGAGACGCUUUGUGUUCGAUAAAUUUGUUCAUAAAUC